Molecule: long non-coding RNA, 1808 nt
Organism: Poecile atricapillus (Black-capped chickadee)
Lineage: Eukaryota; Metazoa; Chordata; Aves; Passeriformes; Paridae
Exons: 2
Source: RefSeq, a predicted model, not a curated record
UUUACCAAUUAUUUAUGUGCUAUCGCAUGCCAGAGUUUGUCUGAAUUGAUUUUCAUUGCAUACAAGAGAUUUGAGGCGUUAAUGACACUUGCCUGCCACUAAAAACAUUUUUUUAAAAUAAUAAUAAUACAAUAAUAAGCAUGACAUUUAUUGCAUUGCCAUGGGGAAAUUAAAAACCCCCAAAAUUAACUAGAGUCCAAGUAACUAUUAGCUCUUCAGAGCUAAUGUGUGAGUUAUAUACCCUGAAUGAGCACCAUAUGCCAGUUCAUUGUGGCACAGUGAGUCACAGGACACAUUGUGGAAAGCAAUAAUUGCUUGGCAUGCACUGAAGCACUCAGUAGGGCUUUUUGUUUGGUUUUCUUUAAGGAAUAUGUUUUACUCUGACAAUAAAAGGGGUAUUGUCUGAUAUGCUGCCAUCAGGGACUGUUGCUUAUUUUGUACUUAACCUGGAGCUUAUCUGUUUGUCACUCACCGCACACCCCCUCAGUACCUUUUGCUUUCCAACUGCUUGUAUUGUAUGUGUGCAGUGCCAGAAGAGUGAAGAGUGAGCCUUCCAUUUGGUAUCAGCUUGUCAUUCUGUAUUAAUCCUCCUCACCCUUUUCCUCCUCAUCUUCUUUCUUUGUCUGAUAGAGACAUUCAGAUUGUUUAUAUGGAAUAAAUGUUCAUCCUGAGCAGAGUGAAGCAGUGGGACGAGUUGCAUAGGGAUUGUACAGUCUCCACUCUUGGCCAGAGCUUGACCGGAUAAGACCGUCAGCAAGCCAGUCUGAUUUUGAGGUUGGCCCUUCUUUGAGCAGGAGGCUGGGCUAUGUGACCUCCAGAAAUCCCUUUUAACCUGAAUUACCUUAUGGUUCUGUUUAAUACCCACUUCCUGUACUGAUUCAGCCAAGGUGCUGGCACGUCAUUAACUCCUCACUCCCUGCUAGUAUCACUCUCAUUCAUACCUGCAUAGAACAGGAGCGACCUCCUGAAGGUCAGUGAGGUGACAGAGGUUUUACUUAUGGGAACAAUAUCAAGAUAUAAAUGGCGACCUCAAAUGAGAUUCGUCGGUGAAAUUUGGAUAUCUCUGAAAUUAUUUGGAAUUUGCAACAGAAUUUCACUUGAGUUCUCUUCAAAUCUUCAUGACAAAUCUCAUUCUCUAACAGCCUUGAAGAGAGCUUUGGGGUAUUUAGGAUUUAGUGAGUCACCAACUGCCCUCGCUGGGCCAUUACGUGCUGGUUUCCUCAUGCGGCCGUAACCACGUGAGGGAGUUAAUGCUGCACAGAGCAUCUGCUCCUCAGCUCAGGGCUCUCCCAGCCCUGCAGCUGUCUGCCAGAAAGCUGGGACGUGCACAGGGGCAUCUGCGAGCUCCAUCGGGUAGCAAAUUUUCAUGGUCGGCCCAUAUGUUAGCCAAAAAACACCCUUUGUCAGAACAAUGUUAUUUUAAUUGUGCUGAGAGAAAGCAAGAUCACACUCAGAUCCACCAUAUCAGCCCAGGGGAUUUUGAACAAUGAUGUAGCUAUUCUAGGGCAAAAAAAACCCUUCAGAAACUCCCUUGGUGGUAAAAAGAAAUAGGAAUAUUUCAUAGGGUUUCUCUUUCAGGUCUGACAAAAUAAGGUGCUUUUCCUUCAUCUCUCUACUUUAUCAACAGGUAUAUUGCUUAUGCAAACACCUGAUCUCCCAUCAGGUUCUGUCAGAAGUAAAGUUUGCAAAUGGGGCUGCCAGAGCAGAUUGAAGAAAGACUAAAUAUCAGCAACGAUAAGCUUUUGUUGUCCCCUUUUACACAAGGCAGGAUUCUAAAAUAAAGAUUUAACAGGAAAGACUUGCUUUCA